AACGCACAUUGCACCUUCUGGCAUUCUGGGAGGUAUGCCUGUUCGAGCGUCAUUACGACCUUCAAGCACAGCUUGGUUUUGGAUGUCACCGACCUGGCGCAUCUUAAAAGUAGUGGUGGUACCAUUUGACUUCAAGCGUAGUAAAUCUUCUCGUUCAUGGAGUUGGAUGCUGUUCCUGCCAGAGAACCCUUUAUUAUCAGGUUGACCUCGGAUCAGGUAGGGAUACCCGCUGAACUUAA
This 239-nucleotide unclassified non-coding RNA is filed under the name uncultured fungus. RNAcentral describes it as "sequence contains ITS2". Lineage: Eukaryota; Fungi. The record is from RNAcentral.